Molecule: ribosomal RNA, 502 nt
Filed under: uncultured Desulfobulbus sp.
Lineage: Bacteria; Pseudomonadati; Thermodesulfobacteriota; Desulfobulbia; Desulfobulbales; Desulfobulbaceae
Description: bacterial SSU rRNA
Rfam family: Bacterial small subunit ribosomal RNA
Source: RNAcentral
GCCCGCUCAGAAACUACAAAGGAAGUUGACGGGGGCCCGCACAAGCGGUGGAGUAUGUGGUUUAAUUCGGUGCAACGCGAAGAACCUUACCUGGUCUUGACAUCCCGGAGACCCUUAGGAAACUAGGGGUGCUUCCAUCUGGAAGAAUCUGGAGACAGGUGCUGCAUGGCUGUCGUCAGCUCGUGUCGUGAGAUGUUGGGUUAAGUCCCGCAACGAGCGCAACCCUUGCCUUUAGUUGCCAGCAGUUCGGCUGGGCACUCUAAAGGGACUGCCGGUGUUAAACCGGAGGAAGGUGGGGAUGACGUCAAGUCCUCAUGGCCUUUAUGACCAGGGCUACACACGUACUACAAUGGCCGAUACAAAGGGCAGCGACACUGCGAGGUGAAGCCAAUCCCGUAAAAUCGGUCUCAGUCCGGAUUGGGGUCUGCAACUCGACUCCAUGAAGUUGGAAUCGCUAGUAAUCGUGGAUCAGCAUGCCACGGUGAAUACGUUCCCGGGCCUU